This 238-nucleotide non-coding RNA is filed under the name Staphylococcus aureus. It matches the Rfam family "S. aureus tsr24 small RNA". The record is from RNAcentral. Lineage: Bacteria; Bacillati; Bacillota; Bacilli; Caryophanales; Staphylococcaceae.
AAAUUAUACGAAGGGACCCAACACAGAAAAUUCAUUUUAUUGAAUUUUACAUUUAUGUGCAAGUUGGGCAAAGUGUUUUAUUUUUUUAAAGUAUGUAAAAGUAAAAUUACAUGUUAAUACGUAGUAUUAAUGGCGAGACUCCUGAGGGAGCAGUGCCGGUCGAAGACCGAGGCUGAGACGGCACCCUAGGAAAGCGAAGCCAUUCAAUACGAAGUAUUGUAUAAAUAGAGAACAGCAG